CUGGCGGCGUGCCUAAUACAUGCAAGUCGAACGGUCUUUUCUAUGGAAGCUUGCUUCCACUGAGAAGAUAGUGGCGAACGGGUGAGUAACACGUGGGUAACCUGCCCAUAAGAGGGGGAUAACAUCCGGAAACGGGUGCUAAUACCGCAUAGUUUUCUUGAUCGCAUGAUCGGGAAAGGAAAGACGGCCUUUGUGCUGUCGCUUAUGGAUGGACCCGCGGCGUAUUAGUUAGUUAGGUGAGGUAACGGCUCACCAAGACGAUGAUACGUAGCCGACCUGAGAGGGUGUAUCGGCCACAUUGGGACUGAGACACGGCCCAAACUCCUACGGGAGGCAGCAGUAGGGAAUCUUCCGCAAUGGACGAAAGUCUGACGGAGCAACGCCGCGUGAGUGAAAGAAGGUUUUCGGAUCGUAAAACUCUGUUGUCAGAGAAGAACAAGUUGGAGAGUAACUGCUCCAGCCUUGACGGUAUCUGACCAGAAAGCCACGGCUAACUACGUGCCAGCCGCGGC
RNAcentral lists this ribosomal RNA (512 nucleotides) under uncultured bacterium. RNAcentral describes it as "bacterial SSU rRNA". It matches the Rfam family "Bacterial small subunit ribosomal RNA", at positions 36 to 518 of the family's 1533-position model. The record is from RNAcentral.